UACGGAGGGCGCAAGCGUUGUUCGGAAUUACUGGGCGUAAAGCGCGUGUAGGCGGUUCGGUAAGACGGGUGUGAAAGCCCGGAGCUCAACUCCGGAAUUGCAUUAGAAACUGCCGGGCUAGAGUCUCGGAGGGGAGGGCAGAAUCCCCAGUGUAGGGGUGAAAUCCGUAGAUAUUGGGAGGAAUACCAGCGGCGAAGGCGGCCCUCUGGACGAUGACUGACGCUCAGACGCGAAAGCGUGGGGAGCAAACAGG
This 253-nucleotide ribosomal RNA is filed under the name uncultured bacterium. RNAcentral describes it as "partial 16S ribosomal RNA". It matches the Rfam family "Bacterial small subunit ribosomal RNA", at positions 524 to 776 of the family's 1533-position model. The record is from RNAcentral.